GAUGGACGCUGACAGAAUGCUUAACACAUGCAAGUCAACUUGAACUUCGGUUUGGGUGGCGGACGGGUGAGUAACGCGUAAAGAACUUGCCUCACAGAUAGGGACAACAUUUGGAAACGAAUGCUAAUACCUGAUAUUAUGAUUAUAUGGCAUCGUAUAAUUAUGAAAGCUAUAUGCGCUGUGAGAGAGCUUUGCGUCCCAUUAGCUAGUUGGAGAGGUAACGGCUCACCAAGGCGAUGAUGGGUAGCCGGCCUGAGAGGGUGAUCGGCCACAAGGGGACUGAGACACGGCCCUUACUCCUACGGGAGGCAGCAGUGGGGAAUAUUGGACAAUGGACCAAGAGUCUGAUCCAGAAAUUCUGUGUGCACGAUGAAGUUUUUCGGAAUGUAAAGUGCUUUCAGUUGGGAAGAAAAAAAUGACGGUACCAACAGAAGAAGUGACGGCUAAAUACGUG
RNAcentral lists this ribosomal RNA (454 nucleotides) under uncultured bacterium. RNAcentral describes it as "partial 16S ribosomal RNA". It matches the Rfam family "Bacterial small subunit ribosomal RNA", at positions 28 to 507 of the family's 1533-position model. The record is from RNAcentral.